RNAcentral lists this transfer RNA (72 nucleotides) under Bos taurus (domestic cattle). It matches the Rfam family "tRNA". From Rfam's summary of the family: Transfer RNA (tRNA) molecules are approximately 80 nucleotides in length. Lineage: Eukaryota; Metazoa; Chordata; Mammalia; Artiodactyla; Bovidae. RNAcentral also lists the same sequence under 5 other names. The record is from Rfam by way of RNAcentral.
UCCCUGGUGGCUGAGGUGGUAAAGUACCUGCCUGCAAUUCAAGAGACCCAGGCUAGAUCCCUGACUUGGGAA